Molecule: ribosomal RNA, 726 nt
Filed under: uncultured delta proteobacterium
Lineage: Bacteria; Deltaproteobacteria
Description: bacterial SSU rRNA
Rfam family: Bacterial small subunit ribosomal RNA
Source: RNAcentral
UUAGUGGCGCACGGGUGAGUAACGCGUAGAUAAUCUGCCUGAUGAUCUGGGAUAACAUCUCGAAAGGGGUGCUAAUACCGGAUAAGCCCACGGGGUCUUUGGAUUCUGCGGGAAAAGGGGGGGACCUUCGGGCCUUCUGUCAUCAGAUGAGUCUGCGUACCAUUAGCUAGUUGGUAGGGUAAAAGCCUACCAAGGCUACGAUGGUUAGCUGGUUUGAGAGAAUGAUCAGCCACACUGGAACUGAGACACGGUCCAGACUCCUACGGGAGGCAGCAGUGGGGAAUUUUGCGCAAUGGGCGAAAGCCUGACGCAGCAACGCCGCGUGAGUGAUGAAGGCUUUCGGGUCGUAAAGCUCUGUCAAUGGGAAAGAAGUGUAUUGUGGCUAAUAUCCACGAUACUUGACGGUACCCAUAAAGGAAGCACCGGCUAACUCCGUGCCAGCAGCCGCGGUAAUACGGGGGGUGCAAGCGUUGUUCGGAAUUAUUGGGCGUAAAGCGCGUGUAGGCGGUUUGAUUAGUCUGAUGUGAAAGCCCUGGGCUCAACCCAGGAAGUGCAUUGGAUACUGUCAGACUUGAAUACGGGAGAGGGUAGUGGAAUUCCUAGUGUAGGAGUGAAAUCCGUAGAUAUUAGGAGGAACACCGGUGGCGAAGGCGGCUGCCUGGACCGAUAUUGACGCUGAGACGCGAAAGCGUGGGUAGCAAACAGGAUUAGAUACCCUGGUAGUCC